RNAcentral lists this ribosomal RNA (444 nucleotides) under uncultured soil bacterium. RNAcentral describes it as "bacterial SSU rRNA". It matches the Rfam family "Bacterial small subunit ribosomal RNA", at positions 26 to 518 of the family's 1533-position model. The record is from RNAcentral.
AGAACGAACGCUGGCGGCAUGCCUAACACAUGCAAGUCGAACGAACCCUUCGGGGUUAGUGGCGCACGGGUGCGUAACGCGUGGGAACCUACCAUCAGGUUCGGAAUAACAGUUAGAAAUGACUGCUAAUACCGGAUAAUGUCUUCGGACCAAAGAUUUAUCGCCUUUUGAUGGGCCCGCGUUGGAUUAGCUAGUUGGUAAGGUAAAAGCUUACCAAGGCGACGAUCCAUAGCUGGUCUGAGAGGAUGAUCAGCCACACUGGGACUGAGACACGGCCCAGACUCCUACGGGAGGCAGCAGUGGGGAAUAUUGGACAAUGGGCGAAAGCCUGAUCCAGCAAUGCCGCGUGAGUGAUGAAGGCCUUAGGGUUGUAAGCUCUUUACUGGGGAUGAUAAUGACAGUACCCAGAGAAUAAGCUCCGGCUAACUCCGUGCCAGCAGCCGC